RNAcentral lists this ribosomal RNA (1241 nucleotides) under metagenome. RNAcentral describes it as "bacterial LSU rRNA". It matches the Rfam family "Bacterial large subunit ribosomal RNA", at positions 1564 to 2816 of the family's 2925-position model. The record is from RNAcentral.
UGAAUACGAGAUGCUACGGCGUCGAAGCAGUCUAUGUCAUACUUCCAAGAAAAGCUUGCACUGUCAUAAACAAAUAAUGCCUGUACCAUAACCGACACAGGUGGGUAGGUAGAGUAUACUAAGGGGCGCGAGAUAACUCUCUCUAAGGAACUCGGCAAAAUGACUCCGUAACUUCGGGAGAAGGAGUGCCUUAUUUAUAAGGUUGCAAUAACAAGAUCCAAGCAACUGUUUACCAAAAACACAGGUCUCCGCUAAGUCGUAAGACGAUGUAUGGGGGCUGACGCCUGCCCAGUGCCAGAAGGUUAAAGAAGUUGGUUAGCAUCCGCGAAGCUGAUAACUGAAGCCCUGGUGAACGGCGGCCGUAACAAUAACGGUCCUAAGGUAGCGAAAUUCCUUGUCGGGUAAGUUCCGACCCGCACGAAAGGCGUAAUGAUUUGGAUACUGUCUCGGAGAGGGGCUCGGUGAAAUAGACUUGUCUGUGAAGAUGCGGACUACCUGCACCAGGACAGAAAGACCCUAUGAAGCUUUACUGUAACCUGAAAUUGAAAUUGGACUUUACUUGCGCAGUAUAGGUGGGAGGCGUUGAGAAUAUUCUUGCGGGAUUAUUGGAGCCAUCAGUGAGAUACCACUCUUGUAAUGUUAGAUUUCUAACUUUGUAUCAUUAUCUGGUCAAAGAACAGUUUCAGGCGGGCAGUUUGACUGGGGCGGUCGCCUCCUAAACGGUAACGGAGGCGCACAAAGGUUUCCUCUGAACGGGUAGAAAUCGUAUCUAGAGUGUAAAGGCAUAAGGAAGCUUGACUGUGAGACCUACAAGUCGAGCAGGGACGAAAGUCGGUCUUAGUGAUCUGACGGUGCUGAGUGGGAAGGCCGUCACUCAACGGAUAAAAGUUACUCUAGGAUAACAGGCUGAUCUCCCCCAAGAGUUCACAUCGACGGGGAGGUUUGGCACCUCGAUGUCGGCUCAUCGCAUCCUGGGGCGGUAGUACGUCCCAAGGGUUGGGCUGUUCGCCCAUGAAAGCGGUACGCGAGCUGGGUUCAGAACGUCGUGAGACAGUUCGGUCCAUAUCCGGUGUAGGCGUUAGAAUAUUGAGAUGAGCCUUCUUUAGUACGAGAGGACCGAGAAGGACAUACCUCUGGUGUACCAGUUAUCGUGCAACGGUAAACGCUGGGUAGCUAUGUGUGGAGUGGAUAACCGCUGAAAGCAUCUAAGUGGGAAGCCCACCUCAAGAUAAGUAUUCUCU